This 1461-nucleotide ribosomal RNA is filed under the name uncultured bacterium. RNAcentral's name for it is "bacterial SSU rRNA". It matches the Rfam family "Bacterial small subunit ribosomal RNA". The record is from RNAcentral.
GACGAACGCUGGCGGCGUGCCUAAUACAUGCAAGUCGAACGGAGAUACGCGCUGAAGAUUUAGCUUGCUAUUGAUUCUUGUGUAUCUUAGUGGCGGACGGGUGAGUAACGCGUGAGCAACCUGCCUUUCAGAGGGGGAUAACGUUUGGAAACGAACGCUAAUACCGCAUGAGACCACGGUACUGCAUAGUACAGUGGCCAAAGGAGCAAUCCGCUGAAAGAUGGGCUCGCGUCCGAUUAGAUAGUUGGCGGGGUAACGGCCCACCAAGUCGACGAUCGGUAGCCGGACUGAGAGGUUGAACGGCCACAUUGGGACUGAGACACGGCCCAGACUCCUACGGGAGGCAGCAGUGAGGGAUAUUGGUCAAUGGGGGAAACCCUGAACCAGCAACGCCGCGUGGGGGAAGACGGUUUUCGGAUUGUAAACCUCUGUCCUCUGUGAAGAUAAUGACGGUAGCAGAGGAGGAAGCUCCGGCUAACUACGUGCCAGCAGCCACGGUAAUACGUAGGGAGCGAGCGUUGUCCGGAUUUACUGGGUGUAAAGGGUGCGUAGGCGGCCCUGCAAGUCAGAAGUGAAAUCCAUGGGCUUAACCCGUGAACUGCUUUUGAAACUGCAGGACUUGAGUGGAGUAGAGGUAGGCGGAAUUCCCGGUGUAGCGGUGAAAUGCGUAGAGAUCGGGAGGAACACCAGUGGCGAAGGCGGCCUACUGGGCUUUAACUGACGCUGAAGCACGAAAGCGUGGGUAGCAAACAGGAUUAGAUACCCUGGUAGUCCACGCCGUAAACGAUGAUUACUAGGUGUCGGUGGGUAUGGACCCACCGGUGCCGCAGCAAACGCAGUAAGUAAUCCACCUGGGGAGUACGUUCGCAAGAAUGAAACUCAAAGGAAUUGACGGGGACCCGCACAAGCGGUGGAGCAUGUGGUUUAAUCCGAAGCAACGCGAAGAACCUUACCAAGUCUUGACAUCUGGAUGACAGGGACGUAACGGUCCCCUUACUUCGGUACAUCCAAGACAGGUGGUGCAUGGUUGUCGUCAGCUCGUGUCGUGAGAUGUUGGGUUAAGUCCCGCAACGAGCGCAACCCUUAUCUUCAGUAGCCAGCAGGUAAAGCCGGGCACUCUGGAGAGACUGCCGGGGAUAACCCGGAGGAAGGUGGGGAUGACGUCAAAUCAUCAUGCCCCUUAUGAUUUGGGCUACACACGUGCUACAAUGGCGUAAACAGAGGGAAGCGAGCCCGCGAGGGGGAGCAAAUCCCAAAAAUAACGUCCCAGUUCGGAUUGUAGUCUGCAACCCGACUACAUGAAGCUGGAAUCGCUAGUAAUCGCGGAUCAGAAUGCCGCGGUGAAUACGUUCCCGGGUCUUGUACACACCGCCCGUCACACCAUGGGAGUCGGAAAUGCCCGAAGUCUGUGACCUAACCGCAAGGGAGGAGCAGCCGAAGGCAGGUCGGAUGACUGGGGUG